Molecule: ribosomal RNA, 398 nt
Filed under: uncultured bacterium
Lineage: Bacteria
Description: partial 16S ribosomal RNA
Rfam family: Bacterial small subunit ribosomal RNA
Source: RNAcentral
CCUACGGGUGGCAGCAGUGAGGAAUAUUGGUCAAUGGCCGAGAGGCUGAACCAGCCAAGUAGCGUGAAGGAUGACUGCCCUACGGGUUGUAAACUUCUUUUAUAAGGGAAUAAAGUGAGGCACGUGUGCCUUUUUGUAUGUACUUGAUGAAUAAGGAUCGGCUAACUCCGUGCCAGCAGCCGCGGUAAUACGGAGGAUCCGAGCGUUAUCCGGAUUUAUUGGGUUUAAAGGGUGCGUAGGUGGACUGUUAAGUCAGUUGUGAAAGUUCGGGGCUCAACCGUAAAAUUGCAGUUGAUACUGGCUGUCUUGAGUACAGGAGAGGUAGGCGGAAUGCGUAGUGUAGCGGUGAAAUGCUUAGAUAUUACGAAGAACUCCGAUUGCGAAGGCAGCAUACUGGA